This is a long non-coding RNA of Pan troglodytes (chimpanzee), 3053 nucleotides long. RefSeq lists it as uncharacterized. The transcript is spliced from 6 exons. Lineage: Eukaryota; Metazoa; Chordata; Mammalia; Primates; Hominidae. The record is from RefSeq and is a predicted model, not a curated record.
AUACCUCCCUGCAAGCUGAGGGAGUGGGCUCCGGCCUUGGCCAGCUCAGAAAGGAGCUCCCACAGUGCAGCGGCGGGCUGAAGGGCUCCUCAAGUGCCGCCAAAGUGGGAGCCCAGGCAGAGGAGGCGCAGAGAGCUAGCGAGGGCUGUGAGGACUGCCAGCACGCUGUCACCUCUCAGUGUCUAGGAAGGAAAUAAUCUAAAUCAAUAAAAGAUUUCUACAACAAUUGUGCAGUGCUGUAUGCUUGGGGUACUAAGAGAAAUAUAGCACCUAUAGGAAGAAAGAAAGAAAGGAAGAGCAGAGAGACUAACAGGCAAACAGGGAGAGAAAGUGAGGCAUUUAUUGCAGGGCACCAAGCAAGGAGAAUUGUGCAGUUCAUCCUGAAGACCCAAACUCCCUGAAGUCUUACAUGAUAUUCCAGACUUGUGCUUCCCUUGCCCCAGUCUUGGAAUCACCCAUUUUGAGAAUUUCGUGGGCUUAUUGGAGAUAUCCUCAAAUUGCUCAUCAUCACUUACCUACUGCACUCUACAAAGCGAUGGAGUAAACCAAUAAAGAAGACCUGGGAUUCAGAGAUAAAGUAUGGCACAGAAAAAGCAGUGAUGGGAAGCCUGGGGCCUACAGAGAGAACAGCAUGUGCAGAACAAAAUAUUUGAACUUCUCCAAGAGGAAAUCAUUAGGCUACAGUCAAAGAAUAAAACAAGUUAUUAGAACAUCUGAAAAGUGUGAAGAAGCCCCAUUUCAAGAUGGCCCAAUAGCAACAGCUCUGGUCUGCAGCUCCCAGCGUGAUCGAUGCAGAAGACAGGUGAUUUCUGCAUUUCCAACUGAGGUACUUGGUUCAUCUCAUUGGGACUGGUCAGAAAGUGGGUGCAGCCCACGGAGGGUGAGCUGAAACAGGGCGGGGCAUUGCCUCACCCUAGAAGAGCAAGGGGUCCAGGUAUUUCCCUUUCCUAGCCAAGGGAAGCCAUGACAGACUGUACUGGGAAAAUCUGGAAACUGCCACCUAAACACUGCGAUUUUCCAACAGUCUUAGCAAAUGGCACACUAGGAGAUUAUAUCCCACAUGUGGCUCAGCGGGUCCCUCGCCCACGGAGCCUUGCUCACUGCUAGUCCCAGAUCAAACUGUGAGGGAGCAAGCCUGGCUGGGGGGUGGGGAGUCUGCCAUUGCUGAGGGUUGAGUAGGUAAACAAAGCAGCCAGGAAGCUUGAAUUGGGCAGAGCCCACCACAGCUCAACGAGGCCCACAGGCCUCUAUAGACUCCACCUCUUAGGGCAGGGCAUAGCUGAAAAAAGGCAGCAGAAACUUCUGCAGACUUAAACGUCUCUGUCUGAUAGCACUGAAGAGAGCAAUGGUUCUCCCAGCAUGGUGUUUGAGCUCUGAGAAUGGACAAACAACCUCCUCAAGUGGGUCCCUGACCCCCGUGUAGCCUAACGUGGAGACAUCUCACUGUAGGGGCCAACUGACACCUCAUACAGCCAGGUGCCCCUCUGAGACAAAGCUUCUAGAGGAAGGAUCAGGCAGAAAUAUUUGCUGUCCUGCAAUAUUUGGGUUCUGCAGCCUCUGCUGGUGAAACUCAGGCAACAGGGUCUGGAGUGGACCUCCAGCAAACUCCAACAGACCUGCAGCUGAGGGACCUGACAUUUAGAAAGAAAACUAACAAACAGAAAGGAAUAGCAUCAACAUCAACAAAAAGGACAUCCAAACCAAAGCCCCAUUUGUAGGUCACCAUCAUCACAGACCAAAGUUAGAUAAAACCACAAAGAUGGGGAGAAACCAGAGUAGAAAAACUGAAAAUUCUAAAAACCAGAGCACCCCUUCUUCUCCAAAGGAUCGCAGCUCCUCGCCAGCAACAGAACAAAGCAGGAUGGAGAAUGACUUUGACGAGUUGACAGAAGUAGGCUUCAGAAAGUCAGUAAUAACAAACUUCUCCGAGCUAAAGGAGGAUGUUCGAACCCAUCGCAAGGAAGCUAAAAACCUUGAAGAAAGAUAGACAAAUGGCUAACUAGAAUAAACAGUGUAGAGAAAACCUUAAAUGACCUGAUGGAGCUGAAAACCAUGACACGAGAACUACGUCAUGCAUGCACAAGCUUCAGUAGCCAAUUCGAUCAAAUGGAAGAAAGGUAUCAGUGAUUGAAGAUAAAAUGAAUGAAAUGAAGCGAGAAGAGAAGUUUAGAGAAACAAGAGUGAAAAGAAAUGAACAAAGCCUCCAGGAAAUAUGGGACAAUGUGAAAAGACCAAAUCUACGUUUGAUUGGUGUACCUGAAAGUGACAGGGAGAAUGGAACCUAGCUGCAAAACACUCUUCAGGAUAUUAUCCAGGAGAACUUGCCCACCUAGCAAGGUAGGCCAACAUUCAAAUUCAGGAGAUACAGAGAACACCACAAAGAUACUCCUUGAGAAGAGCAAUCCCAAGACACACAAUUGUCAGAUUCACCAAAGUUGAAAUCAAGGAAAAACUGCUAAGGGCAGCCAGAGAGAAAUGUCGGGUUACCCACAAAGGGAAGCCCAUCAGACUAACAGCUGAUCUUUUGGCAGAAACCCUACAAGCCAGAAGACAGUGGGGGCCAAUAUUCAAUAUUCUUAAAGAAAAGAAUUUCCAAUGCAGACUUUCAUAUCCAGCCAAACUAAGCUUCAUAAGUGAAGGAGAAAUAAAAUCUUUUAUAGAAAAGCAAAUGCUGAGAGAUUUUGUCACCACCAGGCCUGCCUUGUAAGAGCUCCUGAAAGAAGCACUAAACAUGGAAAGGAAAAACUGGUACCAGCCACAGCAAAAACAUGCCAAAUGGUCAAGACCAUUGAUGCUAGGAAGAAACUGCAUCAAUCAAUGGGCAAAAUAACCAGCUAAUAUCAUAAUGACAGGAUCAUAUUCACACAUUACAGUAUUAAGUAUUAACCUUAAAUGUAAGUGGAUUAAAUGCCCCAAUUAAAAGACACAGACUGACAAAUUGGAUAGUCAAGACCCAUCAGUGUACUGUAUUCAGGAGACCCAUCUUACAGGCAGAGACGCACAUGGACUCAAAAUAAAGGGAUGGAGGAAGACGUACCAAUAAAAUGGAAAGC